RNAcentral lists this ribosomal RNA (301 nucleotides) under uncultured bacterium. RNAcentral's name for it is "partial 16S ribosomal RNA". It matches the Rfam family "Bacterial small subunit ribosomal RNA", at positions 509 to 809 of the family's 1533-position model. The record is from RNAcentral.
CAGCCGCCGCGGUAAUACGGAGGAUCCAAGCGUUAUCCGGAUUUAUUGGGUUUAAAGGGUGCGUAGGCGGCCUAUUAAGUCAGGGGUGAAAGACGGUAGCUUAACUAUCGCAGUGCCUUUGAUACUGAUGGGCUUGAAUAUACUUGAGGUAGGCGGAAUGUGACAAGUAGCGGUGAAAUGCAUAGAUAUGUCACAGAACACCAAUUGCGAAGGCAGCUUACUAAAGUAUGAUUGACGCUGAGGCACGAAAGCGUGGGGAUCAAACAGGAUUAGAUACCCGUGUAGUCCCUGUCUCUUAUAA